UAAAACUCAAACGACGUAAGCCCUACCUCUCUUACAUCCUUACGGCUCCGAAGCCGCGCCAGUGUGAAUAAGCCCUUAUAGAAAAAC
RNAcentral lists this small RNA (87 nucleotides) under Bacillus sp. FJAT-18017. RNAcentral describes it as "BsrC". It matches the Rfam family "BsrC". From Rfam's summary of the family: The 301 nucleotide sequence from Kouji Nakamura has been trimmed to a highly conserved ~85 nucleotide long core to form this family. Lineage: Bacteria; Bacillati; Bacillota; Bacilli; Caryophanales; Bacillaceae. The record is from Rfam by way of RNAcentral.